UCCCGUUUAGCUCAGCUGGUAGAGCGCGUCACUAGUACGGGCGCCUAGCGCAUCGUGUAAUGACGAGGUCAGUCGUUCAAGUCGGCUAAUGGGAA
Non-coding RNA from Lenzites betulinus, 95 nucleotides. Lineage: Eukaryota; Fungi; Basidiomycota; Agaricomycetes; Polyporales; Polyporaceae. The record is from the annotation of a GenBank genome assembly.